This 427-nucleotide ribosomal RNA is filed under the name uncultured bacterium. RNAcentral describes it as "bacterial SSU rRNA". It matches the Rfam family "Bacterial small subunit ribosomal RNA", at positions 958 to 1399 of the family's 1533-position model. The record is from RNAcentral.
AACGCGAAGAACCUUACCAAGGUUUGACAUCCUGCGAAGGUUUUCGAAAGAAGACUGUGCCUUUUGGAAUGCAGUGACAGGUGAUGCAUGGCCGUCGUCAGCUCGUGUCGUGAGAUGUUUGGUUAAGUCCAUCAACGAGCGCAACCCUUAUAGUUAGUUGAUUUUUCUAGCUAGACUGCCCUGGUAACAGGGAGGAAGGAGGGGAUGAUGUCAGGUCCGUAUUUCCCUUACACCUUGGGCUACAAACACGCUACAAUGGCCGGUACAAAGGGCUGCCAAGUCGCGAGACGGAGCAAAUCCCAUCAAAACCGGUCUCAGUUCGGAUUGUAGGCUGAAACUCGCCUACAUGAAGCCGGAAUCGCUAGUAACGGUAGGUCAGCAUUACUACCGUGAAUACGUUCCCGGGCCUUGUACACACCGCUCGCGA